Cyprinus carpio (common carp) is the source of this 741-nucleotide long non-coding RNA. RefSeq lists it as uncharacterized. The record is from RefSeq and is a predicted model, not a curated record. Lineage: Eukaryota; Metazoa; Chordata; Actinopteri; Cypriniformes; Cyprinidae.
CCAUCUGCAUGCGUCAUCUUCUCAGUUCUCACGUAUGCGUCGUGGCGCUCUCAUGAACUCACAUCAGAGGCCCACACUGAAGAAAAUUAAUAGUUGAAUAAAGUCGUUAUUUAUAUAUUUUUAUUUUUUGUGCACAAAAAGUAUUCUCAUUGCUUGAUAAACUUCUAGAUGAGCCACUUUAGUCACUUGGACUAUUUUAACGAUGUCUUUACUAACUUUUCUGGGCCAGCAGGAUGAAAUUACCUAGAAGCCUAUGAAGGAGUGAGGCAGCUAUCAAAUUUCAUCAAAAAUAUCUUAAUUUGUGUUCAGAAGAUGAACGAAAGUCUGACGGGGUUGUAACAACAUGAGCACAAGAGAGAGUGUGAAACCAUCAGCUGUUUGCUAGUCUGCUAAAAAGACCUGUCCAGUCUAUACCAACAUGAAAAAAAAAAGAAUUCUUGGACUGAAAGAAACUCCUGCGUCCAUUUGGGCUGAAGGUCAAGACAGAACCAAACCAAAGCUGGACUGUAACCUACUGGCCUAUAUGACAGACUUCAUACUGACAACUACUGGCAUGGAUGCUGCAUCACAUGUUUUUGAACAAAAACUUUUUCACUUUGAAUUUAAAGUGUGGAGUAUUCCUCCCCCAUGAGGAGACUCUAUGUCUUCAUCUCUUGUGAGUGGAUAUCAUUUUAAACAUUCUUUUACAGAACUGCUCAUUUCUUCUGAAUUUAUUUUGUAGUAUGUAAGAAUUUUCCAUUU